This is a long non-coding RNA of Maniola jurtina (meadow brown), 80 nucleotides long. RefSeq lists it as uncharacterized. The record is from RefSeq and is a predicted model, not a curated record. The transcript is spliced from 3 exons. NCBI's taxonomy places the organism in Eukaryota, Metazoa, Arthropoda, Insecta, Lepidoptera, Nymphalidae.
GGGAAUGAGUAAAUUAGUUUCCCUUAAAGAGGGUUUCGAGUUAACGGGGAUCAAGUUAAAGAGGUUCCACUGUAUUUAUU